This 392-nucleotide ribosomal RNA is filed under the name uncultured bacterium. Its description in RNAcentral is "bacterial SSU rRNA". It matches the Rfam family "Bacterial small subunit ribosomal RNA", at positions 29 to 419 of the family's 1533-position model. The record is from RNAcentral.
AUUGAACGCUGGCGGAAUGCUUUACACAUGCAAGUCGAGCGGCAGCGCGGGGGCAACCCUGGCGGCGAGCGGCGAACGGGUGAGUAAUACAUCGGAACGUGUCCUUAAGUGGGGGAUAGCUCGGCGAAAGCCGGAUUAAUACCGCAUAAGCUCUGAGGAGGAAAGCGGGGGCUCCGUAAGGACCUCGCGCUGUUGGAGCGGCCGAUGUCGGAUUAGCUAGUUGGUGGGGUAAAGGCCCCACCAAGGCGACGAUCCGUAGCUGGUCUGAGAGGAUGAUCAGCCACACUGGAACUGAGACACGGUCCAGACUCCUACGGGAGGCAGCAGUGGGGAAUUUUGGGCAAUGGGCGAAAGCCUGACCCAGCAACGCCGCGUGAGGGAGGGAAAUCCUU